GAUGAAGAACGUAGCGAAAUGCGAUAAGUAAUGUGAAUUGCAGAAUUCAGUGAAUCAUCGAAUCUUUGAACGCACAUUGCGCCCGCCAGUAUUCUGGCGGGCAUGCCUGUUCGAGCGUCAUUACGACCCUCAGGCCCCCGGGCCUGGCGUUGGGGAUCGGCGGAAGCCCCCUGCGGGCACAACGCCGUCCCCCAAAUACAGUGGCGGUCCCGCCGCAGCUUCCAUUGCGUAGUAGCUAACACCUCGCAACUGGAGAGCGGCGCGGCCACGCCGUAAAACACCCAACUUCUGAAUGUUGACCUCGAAUCAGGUAGGAAUACCCGCUGAACUUAAGCAUAUCAAUAAGCGGAGGA
This 353-nucleotide unclassified non-coding RNA is filed under the name soil metagenome. RNAcentral describes it as "partial contains 5.8S ribosomal RNA, internal transcribed spacer 2, and large subunit ribosomal RNA". The stretch from base 1 to 120 matches the Rfam family "5.8S ribosomal RNA", at positions 35 to 154 of the family's 154-position model. The record is from RNAcentral.